CCUGGUCCUGCCCCGCCCCUCCCGGGCUGUCCAUCACCACCCCUCCGGCCCCCGCCGGAAAGAGGACCUGGAGGAAAAGACCCCUCAGGCUCCGGCCGCAGCUCCACCCGCAGGGGCCGUGGGAAGCGGGCGCUCCGGGGAGGAUGCCGCGCCCAGUAGGGGUCGACCCGAAGAGGGGGUCCCCUCCGGGGGGGGACCUGCCCGGGGCUGGGCGAGGGUAUGAGUUCCCGGCUCCCCCACAUCCAUCACCCUCAGGCCACGCUGAGCUUCCUGGACGCGGAAGCCUAGGCCCCAGCACCGCUGCACCUGCCGGCCGGGCACCCCACUAACGCGGCAUCCCGAGAAGGGCCGACUUCCAGGACGACGCAGCUGCGUGCACACAGCCCCCCUUGGCCCGGUGCGGCGGCCCGCAGGGGAGAACGAGCUUGCAGGGUGCGGGUGCGGGCCGCUGGGGCCGAUCUGGCGUCGCAGAACCCGGGGUCCACACCGUCCAGGCUGCGGCCGCGACGACCCCCUGCCAGGCGCCGGUCUCCUCCGGGAGGGCUCCAGCCCGCGCCACCUCCAGGCACAGGGCGCCCUCGUAACUCCCAAUGAAAGUCCUGCGGGAAACGGUUCCCGACCUCGCCAGGCUGGGGGCAGAAGCGACGGGAUGACGCGGAUUGUAAUCGGAAGCCAUCCAGGGGCCUCACUCAGAGCAGAAAGUCAUCACGUGGACUCAACGAAUGCCCUUAGCUGUCUUCCUGGUGGACCAGUGACCACACCUCCCACUCCAGGGGCACUGGCAAAGCAGGGCACACACCCAGGUCAAUGCCAGGAGCCGGAUCUCCCAGUAAGACUAGGGGCACUGGUAGGAGCAUCAAGCAGGGGAUCCAGACCCUGCCUGCUGUCUGCAAAGAAGGUGGUACCCCACGGCCAGCUGGUCCAGCUCAGGCACAAAGUAUUCUUGGCCCUCAGGCCAGGGUCCUGACUGCCUCCGGUGGACAGAAGAGCAAGAGCGUCUGGAAAGCAACAGUGAGCUUGUCUCCAGCAUCCACAACAGCUCCAGUGCCGGGCUUACAUAUGGCAGCAUGCAGCCUUCCCACAGCUGCCCUGUGACCUGGGUACUGAACCUCUCCCACCACCUCCCUCAGCCCCCACCCCCAGGUUAUGAAUGGGCUCUCCCGAUUAAAAGCAUGUUCUCACUGCUUGGAACAUGGUAGGUGCCUUAUAAAUGAUGGGUGGGUAGAUGGAUAGAUGGAUGAAUGGUUUUCCUAACAAAAUGGAGGACUUUGAUGAAUUGUCAUUAAUUCUCAUUGAUCUUCAGUAUUUUAUACUUCUGUAGCAAUUGGGAAUAGAAACUCUUUUAAAAAUGACAUGUCUUUAGGAUAUUUUUUCAUAACUACCUAGCACCCAGCAAUUCAUCACACUUAUUUUUCAUCUAAUAGGUCUUUUAUUGUUUUUGCUUUUUAAAUCUCUUUAGAUUUUCUAAGGAAGGUGAUGGGUUUGAUUAUUGAUUGAACUGAAUUUGAAUUGGAGGCAGAAAGCCUCAGUGGAGGAGUCUAACAGGCACCUCAGCACACACUACCGAUUAGUUAAAGGUGAUGAUAAAAUCAGGCAGCAUGCACAGAACAGAAAGGAGCCUGAAGGAAGGAACCUUGAGACACUUACAUGGGAAGGAUAAGAGGUGUGUAAGAACAAGUCAAGACAGAGAAGGGGUAGUUAGAGAGUCAGAAAAUAGAGACAUCUCCUGGAAGCCACAGAGUGAAGAGAGCAAGGUCAGGAAAGACUUUAAUUUGCAACUAGAAAAACACUGGUCAUUACAUUCUGCCAUUAAAAUUUGGCAAUUAAA
Molecule: long non-coding RNA, 1828 nt
Filed under: Homo sapiens (human)
Lineage: Eukaryota; Metazoa; Chordata; Mammalia; Primates; Hominidae
Description: HSALNT0309710
Source: RNAcentral